Molecule: long non-coding RNA, 271 nt
Organism: Mauremys mutica (yellowpond turtle)
Lineage: Eukaryota; Metazoa; Chordata; Testudines; Geoemydidae
Exons: 3
Source: RefSeq, a predicted model, not a curated record
CAAACCUCACUCUGACCUAGUAAUGGGGCACAUUUCCUGACCAAUUAGGCCUGAGGACGGGAGACUUUUCAAGCUCUAUCACUCAGUGGCUCUGUCAUCACUAGUCAGUUUCACCAUCAGCCUAGGCUCCUGAUCCUGCAAGCAUUUAUGCAGAUGCAAACUGCAAGAAGAUUUACGAACUCCAGGAUACAAACAGGCUGAAGUCUUGUUGGAAGAAAUGCAAAGGCACUUAACAUGGGCCUCCCUGACUCAGACAAACAGGCAAACCCAG